CCUACGGGCGGCAGCAGUGGGGAAUAUUGGACAAUGGGCGAAAGCCUGAUCCAGCCAUGCCGCGUGUGUGAAGAAGGCCUUCGGGUUGUAAAGCACUUUCAGUGGGGAAGAAAGCCUUGGGGCUAAUACCCUCGAGGAAGGACAUCACCCACAGAAGAAGCACCGGCUAACUCCGUGCCAGCAGCCGCGGUAAUACGGAGGGUGCGAGCGUUAAUCGGAAUUACUGGGCGUAAAGCGCGCGUAGGCGGUCUGAUAAGCCGGUUGUGAAAGCCCCGGGCUCAACCUGGGAACGGCAUCCGGAACUGGCAGGCUAGAGUGCAGGAGAGGAAGGUAGAAUUCCCGGUGUAGCGGUGAAAUGCGUAGAGAUCGGGAGGAAUACCAGUGGCGAAGGCGGCCUUCUGGACUGACACUGACGCUGAGGUGCGAAAGCGUGGGUAGCAAACAGGAUUAGAUACCCUAGUAGUC
RNAcentral lists this ribosomal RNA (465 nucleotides) under Vreelandella stevensii. RNAcentral's name for it is "partial 16S ribosomal RNA". It matches the Rfam family "Bacterial small subunit ribosomal RNA", at positions 338 to 795 of the family's 1533-position model. Lineage: Bacteria; Pseudomonadati; Pseudomonadota; Gammaproteobacteria; Oceanospirillales; Halomonadaceae. The record is from RNAcentral.